Molecule: ribosomal RNA, 729 nt
Filed under: Salmonella enterica subsp. enterica serovar Newport
Lineage: Bacteria; Pseudomonadati; Pseudomonadota; Gammaproteobacteria; Enterobacterales; Enterobacteriaceae
Description: partial 23S ribosomal RNA
Rfam family: Bacterial large subunit ribosomal RNA
Source: RNAcentral
GAGUCUUAAUUGGGCGUUAAGUUGCAGGGUAUAGACCCGAAACCCGGUGAUCUAGCCAUGGGCAGGUUGAAGGUUGGGUAACACUAACUGGAGGACCGAACCGACUAAUGUUGAAAAAUUAGCGGAUGACCUGUGGCUGGGGGUGAAAGGCCAAUCAAACCGGGAGAUAGCUGGUUCUCCCCGAAAGCUAUUUAGGUAGCGCCUCGUGAAUUCAUCUCCGGGGGUAGAGCACUGUUUCGGCUAGGGGGCCAUCCCGGCUUACCAACCCGAUGCAAACUGCGAAUACCGGAGAAUGUUAUCACGGGAGACACACGGCGGGUGCUAACGUCCGUCGUGAAGAGGGAAACAACCCAGACCGCCAGCUAAGGUCCCAAAGUCAUGGUUAAGUGGGAAACGAUGUGGGAAGGCCCAGACAGCCAGGAUGUUGGCUUAGAAGCAGCCAUCAUUUAAAGAAAGCGUAAUAGCUCACUGGUCGAGUCGGCCUGCGCGGAAGAUGUAACGGGGCUAAACCAUGCACCGAAGCUGCGGCAGCGACACUGUGUGUUGUUGGGUAGGGGAGCGUUCUGUAAGCCUGUGAAGGUGGCCUGUGAGGGUUGCUGGAGGUAUCAGAAGUGCGAAUGCUGACAUAAGUAACGAUAAAGCGGGUGAAAAGCCCGCUCGCCGGAAGACCAAGGGUUCCUGUCCAACGUUAAUCGGGGCAGGGUGAGUCGACCCCUAAGGCGAGGCCGA